This 520-nucleotide ribosomal RNA is filed under the name uncultured Archaeospora. Its description in RNAcentral is "SSU rRNA". It matches the Rfam family "Eukaryotic small subunit ribosomal RNA", at positions 569 to 1094 of the family's 1831-position model. The record is from RNAcentral. Lineage: Eukaryota; Fungi; Glomeromycota; Glomeromycetes; Archaeosporales; Archaeosporaceae.
AGCAGCCGCGGUAAUUCCAGCUCCAAUAGCGUAUAUUAAAGUUGUUGCAGUUAAAAAGCUCGUAGUUGAAUUUUAGGCUUGACCGGGCGGUCCGUCUCUGGCGAGUACUGUCCUGUUGUCGGGUCUAUCCUUCUGGUGAGCCGGUAUGUCCUUAAUUGGGUGUGUCGGGGAACCAGGACCAUUACCUUGAAAAAAUUAGAGUGUUUAAAGCGGGCUUUUGCUUGAAUAGAUUAGCAUGGAAUAAUAGAAUAGGACGUUGGUUCUAUUUUGUUGGUCUAGGACCACCGUAAUGAUUAAUAGGGAUAGUUGGGGGCAUUAGUAUUCAAUUGUCAGAGGUGAAACUCUUGGAUUUAUUGAAGACUAACUACUGCGAAAGCAUUUGCCAAGGAUGUUUUCAUUAAUCAAGAACGAAAGUUAGGGGAUCGAAGACGAUCAGAUACCGUCGUAGUCUUAACCAUAAAACUAUGCCGACUAGGAAUCGGGCGACGUUAUUUUCAUGACUCGCUCGGCGCCUUAUGGA